UACGUAGGGGGCAAGCGUUGUCCGGAUUUAUUGGGCGUAAAGAGCGUGUAGGCGGUCAGGUAGGUCCGUUGUGAAAACUCGAGGCUCAACCUCGAGACGCCGAUGGAAACCAUCUGACUAGAGUCCGGAAGAGGAGAGUGGAAUUCCUGGUGUAGCGGUGAAAUGCGCAGAUAUCAGGAGGAACACCGGUGGCGAAGGCGGGUCUCUGGGCCGUUACUGACGCUGAGGAGCGAAAGCGUGGGGAGCGAACAGG
Molecule: ribosomal RNA, 253 nt
Filed under: uncultured bacterium
Lineage: Bacteria
Description: partial 16S ribosomal RNA
Rfam family: Bacterial small subunit ribosomal RNA
Source: RNAcentral